Molecule: ribosomal RNA, 987 nt
Filed under: Salimicrobium album
Lineage: Bacteria; Bacillati; Bacillota; Bacilli; Caryophanales; Bacillaceae
Description: bacterial SSU rRNA
Rfam family: Bacterial small subunit ribosomal RNA
Source: RNAcentral
GGGCCCGCGGCGCAUUAGCUGGUUGGUGAGGUAACGGCUCACCAAGGCGACGAUGCGUAGCCGACCUGAGAGGGUGAUCGGCCACACUGGGACUGAGACACGGCCCAGACUCCUACGGGAGGCAGCAGUAGGGAAUCUUCCGCAAUGGACGAAAGUCUGACGGAGCAACGCCGCGUGAAUGAUGAAGGUCUUCGGAUCGUAAAAUUCUGUUGUGAGGGAAGAACAAGGAUCGUGCGAACAGAGCGGUCCCUUGACGGUACCUCACGAGGAAGCCCCGGCUAACUACGUGCCAGCAGCCGCGGUAAUACGUAGGGGGCAAGCGUUGUCCGGAAUUAUUGGGCGUAAAGGGCACGCAGGCGGUUCCUUAAGUCUGAUGUGAAAGCCCGUGGCUCAACCACGGAUGGCCAUUGGAAACUGGGGAACUUGAGAACUGAAGAGGAGAGUGGAAUUCCACGUGUAGCGGUGAAAUGCGUAGAUAUGUGGAGGAACACCAGUGGCGAAGGCGACUCUCUGGUCGGUUUCUGACGCUGAGGUGCGAAAGCGUGGGUAGCAAACAGGAUUAGAUACCCUGGUAGUCCACGCCGUAAACGCUGAGUGCUAGGUGUUAGGGGGCUUCCACCCCUUAGUGCUGAAGUUAACGCAUUAAGCACUCCGCCUGGGGAGUACGGCCGCAAGGCUGAAACUCAAAGGAAUUGACGGGGGCCCGCACAAGCGGUGGAGCAUGUGGUUUAAUUCGAAGCAACGCGAAGAACCUUACCAGGUCUUGACAUCCUUGGCUACUUCCAGAGAUGGAAGGUUCCCUUCGGGGACCAAGUGACAGGUGGUGCAUGGUUGUCGUCAGCUCGUGUCGUGAGAUGUUGGGUUAAGUCCCGCAACGAGCGCAACCCUAAUCUUAGUUGCCAGCAUUCAGUUGGGCACUCUAAGGUGACUGCCGGUGACAAACCGGAGGAAGGCGGGGAUGACGUCAAAUCAUCAUGCCCCUUAUGA